RNAcentral lists this ribosomal RNA (254 nucleotides) under uncultured bacterium. Its description in RNAcentral is "partial 16S ribosomal RNA". It matches the Rfam family "Bacterial small subunit ribosomal RNA", at positions 524 to 776 of the family's 1533-position model. The record is from RNAcentral.
UACAGAGGGUGCGAGCGUUGUUCGGAAUUACUGGGCGUAAAGCGCACGCAGGCGGUUCUUGUAAGCCAGAUGUGAAAUCCCCGGGCUUAACCUGGGAAUGGCAUUUGGGACUGCAAGGCUGGAGUGCGGCAGAGGAGACUGGAAUUCCUGGUGUAGCAGUGAAAUGCGUAGAUAUCAGGAGGAAUACCGAUGGCGAAGGCAGGUCUCUGGGCUGACACUGACGCUCAUGCACGAAAGCGUGGGGAGCAAACAGG